RNAcentral lists this transfer RNA (73 nucleotides) under Bos taurus (domestic cattle). It matches the Rfam family "tRNA". From Rfam's summary of the family: Transfer RNA (tRNA) molecules are approximately 80 nucleotides in length. RNAcentral also lists the same sequence under 2 other names. The record is from Rfam by way of RNAcentral. Lineage: Eukaryota; Metazoa; Chordata; Mammalia; Artiodactyla; Bovidae.
UCCCUGGUGGCUUAGAGGGUAAAGCGUCAGCCUGCAAUGUGGGUAAGCCCAGGUUUGAUUCCUGGGUCGGGAA